GAGUAACUCUAUCUUUUUUAACAGAAAUGAACCUUAAUUUUCUUGUAACGCGGAUUUUCUUAGUUUUUCUAACAUUCAAUUGUCCUCAGAAGUAUAUUUCCUCAGUGAUUUUUUCGAAUCGGAAGAGCCAAGCAAGCAGAUAGUUUAAUUUGCACAGAGCAUCACAAUUUCAACUUUCAACGACAAAAAAGGGUUUGCUAAUCAUCCCUUGUCCUGGCCCGAAUUCCAACUUCUACAGGAUUAGUGUUUUUUUCUGGUGACGUUUCUCGGUUCUCAGCCUGGAAGCAAUUCUUGUAAGUACUGUUGCAUCGGUGUAGCUUGUGGCAGCGGAGUAAUGUUUUAACCCUUUUUGUUUGUGCUAUGUUUCUGCAGCUUUAGUCUGCGAUGAUUAUUACUCUUUUAAGUCUGUGCAGUGGGAGAAGCCUUGUAUGACGGAAAGAGUGGCAGAAAUAGCAGGAAGAACACAAGGGUCUUAGCUGGGCUCAUUGCUCUCAACAAAAAUGCUUAUAGACAACAGAUCUUCUGCAGGAGUAGCCAAAACAGGGUUUAUUCGGUCAACUUGGUGUAUUGGUAGUAUCGUACACUCAAAACCAUUAGCGAUUCCCCUCCUCUCUUUUCCCUCCCCCUCCCUGAGUAGAUAAUUAUAUUCUGGCUUCUUCCAAUGAAUUAUUUUUGUUAUUUUGUACUUUUGCAAGACAUUGAGGAUGGCUAGGCUCUUACUAUUUCUCGCACUUGCACAUGCCCAGUUUUUGCUUCUUGAAACUUGAUCAUAUUGUGACAGCUAAUAUUUUUAAACUAUAAAUUAAUUUACUCAAGUUUAUUUAACAGAGUGGCCUGUAUUUGGUGCUAAACGUUAUUUGUUCAGUCUGCUACUUUAUUUAACUUGAUGGAAUUAUGCAGGAACAGAUCAUGUUCAUCGGCUGUCAGAAACAAGUCCUAUUGUUCUGCAGGUUUAAUUACAUUAUUCUUGGUUUCCUGAAUUACCAGAUUGUUGAAAGUUAUUAUCAUUGAGAAUUAUAUAAUUGCUUCAAAUUUUAUCGUCUAAUGUUUCUUAUGGUUUUUUUUGUUUGAUAUCAAAACUUGUCACUAAGAUUCUUUAUACGGCUCAAAAGAAAACACCUAACAUCUGCCUCUGUCUGACAGAAAAACUAUUCAAAUGUUAUUCACUUUUAACUACACUGUUGCAGUGCUAUGAGUCUUGAUAAUUGAUUCAAACUAAUAAAAAAAAAAUUGGACGUUACAUAACCAACUUGUACACUCGAGUAUUCUACAAGCGCACCCUUUCUUGUAUCAUAAGCUAUUGCUAUUUGGUUAUUUAGGAUUUAACUCCUCAAGUAAUUAAGUAGAGUUUAGAGCAAGAAAGAAAAACAACCCAUUCUUGAUUUAAAUUAAAGUAUUUUGUAAUCGUAGUAUACUCACUUUCUCAAUUUACAUGCAGCAGCUAAAUCUUGUAAUUGAGAAACCUUUUUGCAUUUUGUUUUCAUUCUUGGAAAUGCACUUGAAAAGAUAUGCUGUGGGUAAUUUAUUGAAUUGAUAGCUAGAUAAGUAAAGGAUCCACUCAAAUGAUGUUAAUUAGAACUAUUUAAACCUGUGGAGGUAGCAUAAUUCAGGUGAUUGUAAAACAGGCCCCUCCCCCACGCACACCAAAAAUUAACAUGGAGAUUUUAUUUUUUCUGAAUAAGGCGUGCUAUUCGAAUUUCAUGAUGCGGUGCCAGGCUUUUCCAUUUUUUUGGUGGGGGCAGGUUAUUGCUGCUGUUGAUUCACGUUCAUACUCGGCUUGUCAAUCAAAGAAAUCUUUAGAUUUUUAUUCGUACUUGGGAUUGCUUGUGGGUGAGAGAGGAAUAAGAAACUAAAUUAAGCCUACGAGGCAAGAUAAGAAGUGUGGCUCCACUACUACUGUAGGCACCACACGAUUAAGAUUCGUUGUCUGCUCGUUGCAUUCCUAAAACUUUAACUCUAAAAAUAUUUUCUACAUUGAAAUUGGACAUAAAAGGCGUACCAUGUGAUAAACGGAGCCAAAAUAUCCGUUUCAUGAACUCGUGCUGCUUUUCAUGUUGAAAUUAUGAUUGAUGGUGGAAGUUGUUGUGGAUUCUAAAAGGAUCGUGGGCUUAUUCCCUUUGUAAACAAAGUUUAAUAUAUAUUAUUUGUUUAAUGAAGUCAACAAGGCCUAGGCCGAAAUAAUGGAAGAAAUAGGGAAAUGAAGAGACAAUUUUGGCUUUAGAAGAAGAGAGCAGGGUAACCGAUCAUUCCCCACUUCGUGGUGAAGGAUUUGAAUUGGAUGCAAUGUAUUUGGCAUUUGCCGUUAAAGAGAAAGAAAACGAAAGCGUAGAAGAGAAAAAGAGAGAGCUGGUCCCAGUGGUUUGUUUGACGGUGGCGUGUCGUAUGUAACAUCUCACAAUAUGUUACCCUAUGCCUAUCUAUCCGUGAACGGCUAUAUAUCAAAAACUUCAAUUAUUCUUCUUCACAAUGAGAGCCUCACCUGCUCGAUAAAACAAAACUUGUAAACAAGCACGAGACCUAUCUUUGAUACCUUCAUAAAUAAAGCUAACAUGUGUCGUUAUCAAGAUCUAUUCCAUCAUAGUGACCAUAUCACACUCCUUAUGCUAAGCUUGUAUAAUUUUUUCUCCUUUUGCUUAUGUUCUUCUUUAAUUCCCCCCGUCUCCGCCACUCUUCAAUCCGUGAAUAGAUUGCAUCGCGUGCAGGAUACAGAGAGCCAUUAACUCACGCACCUCAAAAUGGAUCGGAGAGUAGUUGAAUUACUCUUCCUAUUUAUAACCUCCUCUCCAUAUUGGGACAACGCUUUUACCACCAUAUCCUCCUAAUUUCAAAACCCAUUUAUCUAUAAUUACUUUUCGAUCGAUUCCGGGAACAAAACAAGCCAAACCAAGUUUCUACACCAAUUGUUCGUUCCCGUUUAAAAACCUUAACCUAACAAUCUUCACUGCUGUACAUCUGUGAAAUCAAUGCACAUUCCUUCAACUAGAACAAACAAAAAUACAAGACAAAACGAGGAGUCAGAAUCAGAAUAUUAAAAAGAAGACAGAAGUCUAUUUGCCUAUUUCUUUUUU
Non-coding RNA from Vigna umbellata (rice bean), 3068 nucleotides. NCBI's taxonomy places the organism in Eukaryota, Viridiplantae, Streptophyta, Magnoliopsida, Fabales, Fabaceae. The record is from RefSeq and is a predicted model, not a curated record.